GAGAGCUUGGAGAAGACCGGAAGUCCCUCCGCCUCCGCUCGCCCUCGUGCUCCCUUCAGCCCCUUCGCAGCUCCGUGCGCAAGGUCGUGUCCCGGAAGUGAAGGGGCCAUGUUGAUGGGUGACCCGGGGAGAGGUACCCGGCCAGAGGCGAGUCCUGCGGAGUGGUAGCGCGCGCGGCCUGCGGAUGAGGAACUGAGACAGUCACAGAGGGGUUAGGAGACUUGCCCACGGUCAUGCAGCUCGUAAGUGUUGGUGCCAGGAUUCAAGUAUGGCUGAGUGCUUGUCUUCAACCCUCCUAGAUCACCCCCUGUGUUGAAGUUCUAUUACCGUUCAUUACGUGCACAGUUCUCAAAAUAAUCCUAUGUGUGUGACACCCAGCCCCUGCCAGUCCCCCAUGGCCCCGUGGAGCCGAGAGGCGGUGCUGAGUCUCUAUCGGGCUCUGUUGCGCCAGGGCCGACAGCUUCGCUACACUGAUCGAGACUUCUACUUUGCCUCCAUCCGCCGUGAAUUCCGAAAAAAUCAGAAGCUAGAGGACCCUGAGGCCCGGGAGAGGCAGCUGGAGAAGGGCCUGGUCUUUCUCAACGGCAAAUUGGGGAGGAUCAUUUAGGAUCCUCCAAGGGAAAGAGGACAAAGGUGCCUUCUGUAGACACUCCUGCUCUCUUCCAUCCCUGUCUUACAGAUGUAUUAAGAAGCCUCAG
Molecule: small RNA, 698 nt
Filed under: Pan troglodytes (chimpanzee)
Lineage: Eukaryota; Metazoa; Chordata; Mammalia; Primates; Hominidae
Description: processed transcript
Source: RNAcentral